This 492-nucleotide ribosomal RNA is filed under the name uncultured bacterium. Its description in RNAcentral is "partial 16S ribosomal RNA". It matches the Rfam family "Bacterial small subunit ribosomal RNA", at positions 29 to 507 of the family's 1533-position model. The record is from RNAcentral.
AGUGAACGCUGGCGGUAGGCCUAACACAUGCAAGUCGAACGGCAGCACAGUAAGAGCUUGCUCUUACGGGUGGCGAGUGGCGGACGGGUGAGGAAUACAUCGGAAUCUACUUUUUCGUGGGGGAUAACGUAGGGAAACUUACGCUAAUACCGCAUACGACCUACGGGUGAAAGUAGGGGAUCUUCGGACCUUGCGCGAUUGAAUGAGCCGAUGUCGGAUUAGCUAGUUGGCGGGGUAAAGGCCCACCAAGGCGACGAUCCGUAGCUGGUCUGAGAGGAUGAUCAGCCGCACUGGAACUGAGACACGGUCCAGACUCCUACGGGAGGCAGCAGUGGGGAAUAUUGGACAAUGGGCGCAAGCCUGAUCCAGCCAUACCGCGUGGGUGAAGAAGGCCUUCGGGUUGUAAAGCCCUUUUGUUGGGAAAGAAAAGCAGCAGGUUAAUACCCCGCUGUUCUGACGGUACCCAAAGAAUAAGCACCGGCUAACUUCGUG